GAGGGUGCUGCGCUUCGAGUUUGAUCCUGGCUCAGGGUGAACGCUGGCGGUAUGCCUAAGACAUGCAAGUCGCACGGACCGGUUUCGGCUGGUCAGUGGCGGACGGGUGAGUAACACGUGGGAGACGUGCCCUCAAGUGGGGGAAAACCAGGGGAAACCCUGGCUAAUCCCCCAUGUGAACCCCCGCUUGGGCGGGUGUUUAAAGCUUCGGCGCUUGAGGAUCGGCCCGCGGUGCAUCAGGUAGUUGGUGGGGUAAUGGCCCACCAAGCCGACGACGCAUAGCUGGUCUGAGAGGACGACCAGCCACAGGAGCACUGAGACACGGGCUCCACUCCUACGGGAGGCAGCAGUUAGGAAUCUUCGGCAAUGGGCGAAAGCCUGACCGAGGCGAUACCGCUUGAAGGGAUGAAGCCCUUCGGGGUGUAAACUUCUGAACUCGGGACGAUGAUGACGGUACCGAGGUAAUAGCACCGGCUAACUCCGUGCCAGCAGCCGCGGUAAUACGGAGGGUGCGAAGCGUUACCCGGAUUUACUGGGCGUAAAGGGCGUGUAGGCGGUCUCUCAAGUCCGAUGCUAAAGACUGGGGCUCAACCCCAGGAGUGCGUUGGAUACUGGGAGGCUAGACGGUCGGAGGGGGUAGCGGAAUUUCCGGGAGUAGCGGUGAAAUGCGCAGAUACCGGAAGGAACGCCAAUAGCGAAGGCAGCUACCUGGACGACUUGUGACGCUGAGGCGCGAAAGCGUGGGGAGCAAACCGGAUUAGAUACCCGGGUAGUCCACGCCCUAAACCAUGAGUGCUGGGUGUCCCGGCUUCUGCUGGGUGCCGUAGCUAACGCGCUAAGCACUCCGCCUGGGAAGUACGCACGCAAGUGUGAAACUCAAAGGAAUUGACGGGGGCCCGCACAAGCGGUGGAGCAUGUGGUUUAAUUCGAAGCAACGCGAAGAACCUUACCAGGCCUUGACAUGCCCGGAACCCCUCUGAAAGGAGGGGGUGCCCGCAAGGGAGCCGGGACACAGGUGCUGCAUGGCCGUCGUCAGCUCGUGUCGUGAGAUGUUGGGUUAAGUCCCGCAACGAGCGCAACCCCUAUCCCUAGUUGCCAGCAGUUCGGCUGGGCACCUCUUAUGGAGACUGCCCUGCGAAAGCAGGAGGAAGGCGGGGAUGACGUCUGGUCCGCAUGGCCCUUACGGCCUGGGCGACACACGUGCUACAAUGCCAAGGACAAAGCGCUGCUACCUCGCGAGAGGACGCCAAUCGCAAAAACCUUGGCUCAGUUCGGAUUGGAGUCUGCAACUCGACUCCAUGAAGCCGGAAUCGCUAGUAAUCGCGAAUCAGCCACGUCGCGGUGAAUACGUUCCCGGGCCUUGUACACACCGCCCGUCAAGCCAUGGAAGUGGGUUCUGCCUGAAGUCGCCGGUAGCCUUGGGCAGGCGCCGAGGGCCGGGCUCAUGACUGGGGCUAAGUCGUAACAAGGUAGCUGUACCGGAAGGUGCGGCUGGAUCACCUCCUAAGGGCAGCUCAAUCGCCCUAUAUAGUACGGCG
Molecule: ribosomal RNA, 1538 nt
Filed under: Calidithermus roseus
Lineage: Bacteria; Thermotogati; Deinococcota; Deinococci; Thermales; Thermaceae
Description: 16S ribosomal RNA
Rfam family: Bacterial small subunit ribosomal RNA
Source: RNAcentral